UGCGCGCAACUUUCUGGAGCGGUCGACCCCAGUGCACCCCGCUUGUGGAGAGGUCGGCUCCCAGCACUCCCCGCCUCUGGAGAGGUCAUCGGGGCUGAAGCCAGGCAGGAUUUUGGGGGCGCUCAGAAUCCUUCCGAUGGAGCUCUGCGUUUGAAGCCUGGAUGCCGGAAUUUUCAGAAGAGGAUGGUGCUGUGCAUGACGGCUGUUUGGCUUGACCGACAGACCCCUGAGUCUCAAAGGACACUUUGAUGCCGCCCAUGGAUUUCCCCGUAUGCUGCACCGACACACGGCCUGGGAGAAAUAAAACGAGUCCACGCUGAAAAUGCAGAAUGAAUUCAGAUCCGUUUACCUCUCAAGACAUAUUGUGGACAAAAAGAAAAACAAAGCUGGUGAACUGUGGGACGACAUCUCUGAAGAAUCCCAGCAUCACUUGAGCCGGUGCAAAAUGGUGGCCCUCUUGCCCUGAAUCAGUGAGUACAUUUACCACGUGUAAUCCAGGGAUGUUCGGAAGUUACUGGCAAUAAAGACAACUUAAUUUAACAGGAAGACAGUGUUAUCACCGCAGUCAGCCCACGUGAGCCUCCCGAGAGACCGCAGGCUCCUGCAGGUACGGCUGGUCCUUGGCAUCCCCGAGUCUCCACGACACCAGCAAGGAAUUCCUUGGUUGUGUCAUUGGGAACUUCUCCACAGCUGGGUGAUUAUGUCUGGUC
Molecule: long non-coding RNA, 710 nt
Organism: Balaenoptera ricei (Rice's whale)
Lineage: Eukaryota; Metazoa; Chordata; Mammalia; Artiodactyla; Balaenopteridae
Exons: 5
Source: RefSeq, a predicted model, not a curated record